This 66-nucleotide transfer RNA is filed under the name Phoca vitulina (harbor seal). RNAcentral's name for it is "tRNA-Pro". The record is from RNAcentral. Lineage: Eukaryota; Metazoa; Chordata; Mammalia; Carnivora; Phocidae.
CAGGGAAUAGUUUAAUUAGAAUGUCAGCUUUGGGUGCUGGUGGGUGGGUUGUUUACCUCUUCCUUG